RNAcentral lists this ribosomal RNA (264 nucleotides) under uncultured archaeon. RNAcentral's name for it is "partial 16S ribosomal RNA". It matches the Rfam family "Archaeal small subunit ribosomal RNA", at positions 719 to 982 of the family's 1478-position model. The record is from RNAcentral.
ACACGACUACAUUAGAUACCCGUGUAGUCCCAGCCCUAAACGAUGCGCGCUAGGUGUAUCGGUGACCACGAGUCACCGAGGUGCCGAAGGGAAACCGUGAAACGUGCCGCCUGGGAAGUACGGUCGCAAGGCUGAGACUUAAAGGAAUUGGCGGGGAGCACCACAACGGGUGGAGCUUGCGGUUUAAUUGGAUUCAACGCCGGAAAUCUUACCGGGACCGACAGCAACAUGAAGGCCAGGCUGAAGACUUUGCCGGAUUAGCUG